RNAcentral lists this ribosomal RNA (552 nucleotides) under uncultured bacterium. RNAcentral's name for it is "partial 16S ribosomal RNA". It matches the Rfam family "Bacterial small subunit ribosomal RNA", at positions 355 to 900 of the family's 1533-position model. The record is from RNAcentral.
UAGGGAAUCUUCCACAAUGGACGCAAGUCUGAUGGAGCAACGCCGCGUGAGUGAAGAAGGUUUUCGGACCGUAAAGCUCUGUUGUUGGUGAAGAAGGAUAGAGGUAGUAACUGGCCUUUAUUUGACGUAUCAACCAGAAAGUCACGGCUAACUACGUGCCAGCAGCCGCGGUAAUCGUAGGUGGCAAGCGUUGUCCGGAUUUAUUGGGCGUAAAGCGAGCGCAGGCGGAAGAAUAAGUCUGAUGUGAAAGCCCUCGGCUUAACCGAGGAAUUGCAUCGGAAACUGUUUUUCUUGAGUGCAGAAGAGGAGAGUAGAACUCCAUGUGUAGCGGUGGAAUGCGUAGAUAUAUGGAAGAAUACCAGUGGCGAAGGCGGCUCUCUGGUCUGCAACUGACGCUGAGGCUCGAAAGCAUGGGUAGCGAACAGGAUUAGAUACCCUGGUAGUCCAUGCCGUAAACGAUGAGUGCUAAGUGUUGGGAGGCUUCCGCCUCUCAGUGCUGCAGCUAACGCAUUAAGCACUCCGCCUGGGGGAGUACGACCGCAAGGUUGAAAC